This 253-nucleotide ribosomal RNA is filed under the name uncultured bacterium. Its description in RNAcentral is "partial 16S ribosomal RNA". It matches the Rfam family "Bacterial small subunit ribosomal RNA", at positions 524 to 776 of the family's 1533-position model. The record is from RNAcentral.
UACGGAGGGUGCAAGCGUUAUCCGGAUUCACUGGGUUUAAAGGGCGCGCAGGCGGAUUGGUAAGUCAGUGGUGAAAGGCUUGAGCUUAACUCGGGAACUGCCAUUGAUACUAUCAGUCUUGAAUAUUGUUGAGGUUUGCGGAAUGGGUCAUGUAGCGGUGAAAUGCAUAGAUAUGACCCGGAACACCUAUUGCGAAGGCAGCAGGCUAAACAAAGAUUGACGCUGAGGCGCGAAAGCGUGGGGAGCGAACAGG